GACGUAAACAAACAUUUUCAAUGACAUUUCUCUCCUUCUUACCUAGCGACCUCUAUGCUGGUGGCGCAUUAAAUUUGCCUAUACAAAAUAAAUAGUCGAAGGUCGAAGAAUAUUUGCUUCAACGGAUCCGAAAGUUAUAAAAAUGCUUUUGACAUCCAAUUUAAAUUGAUACUAAGAAAAGAAGAUCUAGUAGGUAGCUUGAGCAAACUUCCAGUUCUGAUAUUUCAUAAAAAAAAUUGGUGUUGGCCUUUUAUAUUUUCCAAGAAAUUGUUCAUAUCAUUUUUCCUAGAAAUUCGAACCGUUGUUUUUUAAAAAUAGCAUCAAUAUUAAUUCAUAACUAACAUAGAAUCCUUUUAGUUUGGACAUUUCUAUUGAGAAUGGUAAAAAAUUAACAAUGAAAAUGAACCGUUUUGAACAAAUGGUAUUGGUAAUAUUUUUCAAUACUUGACAAUCAAUAUCAAUAAACAUGAUAGGGUAUUCUUAUGCUGUCAAACAACAUAAACAUGUUUAAUGAUGGAAAGAGAAAUUUAUGCAUUUAUGUUAAGCUUAAAAAAAACGAUUUUUUGAAAAAUAAUAUUUCGAACAGGGCGCUUGAUGGUGACUUGAACUAAACAUGGCGCACAAUGGUGGAUAUGCAACCUUAAAAAUUAGUUCACAAAUUUAAUACCGAGAUUUCUACAUACAUUUCCUAAAGAAUUCCUCGAGAAAUUCUUUUAAGAACUUUUUCAAGGAUUUUCUCACAAUUUUGUUUUGAUACGAAGCAUAAUUUAUUGAUACACGGCUUUUAGUUCCUGAGAUCUCAUGAAAUUUAUUUGCUGACUACUCGGCUAAAAUUUCCGAAAGUGCCAUUUUAGACGAAUACUUAGAGGGACUGAAAAAACGAGAAACAAAUCCUUGUGGUUAAGUUCCAUCAGUUUUGGAUGAAACUUGUUGUAAAAAAGUUAUGCAAAGUUCAUGAAAAAUAUCGAAUGAGUUCAUAUGACUGAACUUCUGAAGGUGUUCCCAAAAAAUACCUCAAGAUAUUGCUGAGGAAUCUCCUCCGAUGUUCGAGAUAGUUUUAGGAACGUUUUCUUGAAUAAUUGCUAGAAAACUAUCUUGAAGAAACUGAGGAAAUGAGAGGAGCAGAAUAGUGCUAAAGCCGCGAUGGAGCGAUCAUCCGUGUCAGAGCAAAAUGUCAGUCCUUCAGCAAUACUCGGCUUUAGAAAAGGAAGUAACCAAUAAGCAUUCGAACCAGCACGCAUUCAGCAUGAUAUUGUAUUUUUUGGUAAAAUCCAGAAUGCGAUCGCAGUUCUGUUUAGAGCUGCGAAUUUAUUUACACAGUUAGAGAAAAUUGCUCAGAACAAAGUAUAAAAACUCUCUUGAUUUCUUACACCACGUGCAUCAAAAUAAAUGAGACUUCACAAAGAUUAUCAAUAUUACUUGCCAAAUUAGAGUAACACACAUCAUUAUUGAUAAAAAUAAAACAGUUUUCAGUGAAAUUUCGACGUCAGAAAUAUUAGUUUCACCAGCUGUAUAACGUUUCAUUGAAGUUCGUCAAUAAUGACUUAGUGUGUAAGAGGUCAGUUUAGCCGCUUAUUUACAUCUGUCGAAGCCGCCCGGAGUCGUCACAGCCGCCGUCCCAUUGUUUCGACUUUGACAUUAGCUUCGCAUCGCGUGAGCAGGUGCGAAUACGGUUUAGUGCUGCGAAGUCAAUAUGCAUUUGCACGACAAUGCCUUAAAUGCUCGUCUGACUUAUGUCUACAAUUAGUGCUGCCUCAGACCAGAUUUCGGUGAAACAACAGGCCCCUUCGGAAAUGUUGCAUUUGAUUGUCAAAAAAUGUACACGCUCGUUCAAAUCUACUCAAAAGAGAAUAACUUUGACUCACUUUUGAACUUUCAUACUAGCUGUCAAAAGUGAGUAACUUUAUUUUAUCAAAGUGAGUAACUUGUUACUCAAUUAUGAAAGAAAACGACCUUACUCACUUUUGAGUAAACACUAACAUAUUUGACUCACUUUGUAACUGUCAAACACUUGUGAAAAUUUCAGCUUCCAAGAUUAGGAGUAAAUAUCGUUGUAAGAAAAUGUAUUAGUAGUAAAACAAGAGCUUAAAACCUGUAGAAUUACCUAAAACGAAUCAUGCAAGUUGUGUAAUAGUUGAUACAUUGUUACUGUUGUUAUUAAUCCGCUAUCAAGUGAAGCGAGAUCGGAGUUUUUGAAAGUAACCAAGUCCUGGUUUUGCCCGAACAACCGCAAGAGACAAGUUUAUACACAUCUUUCCGGAAAUGCUACUGGCUCGGUCUAACAUCCGGAUCAACAUCCAGCGAAUGAAUGUUUACCGGAAGAACAUUGAGUGCUUGAAUGCGCAGCAAAAUCGUUAAUUUCUGGUAAACACGGCCCACAGUUUACUGCAAACCUUUAGGUUUUCUUCCCGCUGGAAGUUGCCGCGUGACAUCAUAGUAAAUUAAUCCCCCAGAAUCCCCCUCCGGGGAUCUAUUCCAGACAAGCGAAAAAAUUGGACACAAACAUCACAAUUUUAUUAUUUACUUGUUAUAUAAUGUACUAUUCAUAUAUUUAUGUAUGAGAUAAUAAAAUAAAUGUUAUGUCUUUCGAUUUUUUUUUCUGAUUCUAUUUAUAAAUAAAAAUAAUAAAUUUAUUUCCAAAAUGUCAUUUCUAAAGUGAGUGACAUCUACUCACUUUCGCAAAUUGUUGAUAAAACGAAGUGAGUAAGUGUUACUCUAAUUUUGACAUUUGACAGUGUUACUCUAAAGAGAGUAACCAUGGCUUUACUCACUUUUGAGCAGUUCCACUUUGUUCCGAAGUGAGUCGAAAUCUACUCACUUUUGAGUAGAUCUGAACGAGCGUGUAACGCCUCAUUGAAGAACCAAACAAAAUCAACAUAUUUCCAUCUCCUUUGGCUAUCGUUUUUAUGAUCCGAUUCGAUCCGACGAUCUGAUGAUUGAUCAAGUUCAUAUCGGCGGCACUCCGCAUGGCAUUGCAUAUAGGCUAUGGAUGGAUCUGUUCUGGGCUCUGAUUUUAAGCCCUAUUUAAAGUGCGCUUUGUUUGCGUAGACAUAUUUCUGACGCGUUCAAUUUACGAACACGGUCAUAAGAGCUCUUGAAUAGGUUAUGGCAAAUUAUAAUCAUAU
This 3125-nucleotide long non-coding RNA is filed under the name Aedes aegypti (yellow fever mosquito). RNAcentral describes it as "lncRNA AAEL025449". The record is from RNAcentral. Lineage: Eukaryota; Metazoa; Arthropoda; Insecta; Diptera; Culicidae.